Molecule: ribosomal RNA, 253 nt
Filed under: uncultured bacterium
Lineage: Bacteria
Description: partial 16S ribosomal RNA
Rfam family: Bacterial small subunit ribosomal RNA
Source: RNAcentral
GACGUAGGGCGCGAGCGUUGUCCGGAUUUAUUGGGCGUAAAGAGCUCGUAGGCGGCUUGUCGCGUCGACUGUGAAAACCCGCGGCUCAACUGUGGGCUUGCAGUCGAUACGGGCAGGCUGGAGUUCGGUAGGGGAGACUGGAAUUCCUGGUGUAGCGGUGAAAUGCGUAGAUAUCUGGAGGAAUACCGGUGGCGAAGGCGGCAUCCUGGACCGACAUUGACGCUGAUGAGCGAAAGCUAGGGGAGCAAACGGG